ACGCUCGACACCUACGGGAGCAGCAGUGGGGAAUAUUGCACAAUGGGGGAAACCCUGAUGCAGCGACGCCGCGUGAAGGAAGAAGUAUCUCGGUAUGUAAACUUCUAUCAGCAGGGAAGAAAGUGACGGUACCUGACUAAGAAGCCCCGGCUAACUACGUGCCAGCAGCCGNGUAUNUGAGGCGGGCGUGGACGAACGGC
RNAcentral lists this ribosomal RNA (200 nucleotides) under uncultured bacterium. RNAcentral describes it as "partial 16S ribosomal RNA". It matches the Rfam family "Bacterial small subunit ribosomal RNA", at positions 328 to 538 of the family's 1533-position model. The record is from RNAcentral.